CUCGAAAUUAGUCAUACCUUAAGGUUCAGGCUUUAAAAGUAUUCAACCAUCGAGUCAUCCGUGCGAUCUCAGUUAGCCUCUCUCUCGGAGUACCUACUGACAAGAUUUUGAUUUACAAAGUCAUGGCAUCUCCAAAACUUGAUCCUUUCCAUCUAUGACAUGUAGGAGUUCUUUGAUCUCUUUCAAAAGAGGACUAAUCUUCCAACCUUAGAUUUUAAAUGCUAUGAUUCUUGGCCCAAGAAAUUAAUUGCUCUCGAUUAAGUCCACACAACGAUCGUAAUUGGCUUAACAGAAAUAGAUGAAGCAUCAAAUACUUUUCAUAAUCUAUGAUCCUCUUUCUUCUUUUAACUUUGCCCAUGAUUUAAUGAUCAACCUUUAUCCUAAGAACACCUCAAACCCUUUUUCAAAUGGAUAGAUUGAUAAUGUCAUAGCUAGGAGU
Molecule: long non-coding RNA, 439 nt
Filed under: Phoenix dactylifera (date palm)
Lineage: Eukaryota; Viridiplantae; Streptophyta; Magnoliopsida; Arecales; Arecaceae
Description: long non-coding RNA (PDAC_LNC011249)
Source: RNAcentral